UACGUAGGGACCAAGCGUUGCUCGGAAUCACUGGGCGUAAAGCGCACGUAGGCGGUUCGUUAAGUCAGAUGUGAAAGCCCCCGGCUCAACCGGGGAAGUGCAUCUGAAACUGGCGAGCUAGAGUACGAAAGAGGGUCGCGGAAUUCCCGGUGUAGAGGUGAAAUUCGUAGAUAUCGGGAGGAACACCGGUGGCGAAGGCGGGUCUCUGGGCCGAUACUGACGCUGAGGAGCGAAAGCGUGGGGAGCGAACAGG
This 253-nucleotide ribosomal RNA is filed under the name uncultured bacterium. Its description in RNAcentral is "partial 16S ribosomal RNA". It matches the Rfam family "Bacterial small subunit ribosomal RNA", at positions 524 to 776 of the family's 1533-position model. The record is from RNAcentral.